ACUCCUACGGGAGGCAGCAGUGGGGAAUAUUGCACAAUGGGCGCAAGCCUGAUGCAGCCAUGCCGCGUGUAUGAAGAAGGCCUUCGGGUUGUAAAGUACUUUCAGUCAGUGAGGAAGGAGUGGGUAUGUUAAUAGCAUAUUCAUUUGACGUUAGCUGCAGAAGAAGCACCGGCUAACUCCGUGCCAGCAGCCGCGGUAAUACGGAGGGUGCGAGCGUUAAUCGGAAUUACUGGGCGUAAAGCGCAUGCAGGUGGUUUGUUAAGUCAGAUGUGAAAGCCCGGGGCUCAACCUCGGAAUUGCAUUUGAAACUGGCAAACUAGAGUACUGUAGAGGGGGGUAGAAUUUCAGGUGUAGCGGUGAAAUGCGUAGAGAUCUGAAGGAAUACCGGUGGCGAAGGCGGCCCCCUGGACAAAGACUGACGCUCAGAUGCGAAAGCGUGGGGAGCAAACAGGAUUAGAUACCCUGGUAGGAUAG
RNAcentral lists this ribosomal RNA (474 nucleotides) under uncultured bacterium. Its description in RNAcentral is "bacterial SSU rRNA". It matches the Rfam family "Bacterial small subunit ribosomal RNA", at positions 335 to 798 of the family's 1533-position model. The record is from RNAcentral.